UGGGCAACCUGCCCUCAGCUCUGGGAUAACUCCAAGAAAUUGGGGCUAAUACCGGAUGUGACCGCUGACCGCAUGGUCUGGUGGUGGAAAGAUUUAUCGGCUGGGGAUGGGCCCGCGGCCUAUCAGCUUGUUGGUGGGGUAGUGGCCUACCAAGGCGACGACGGGUAGCCGGCUGAGAGGGUGACCGGCCACACUGGGACUGAGACACGGCCCAGACUCCGUACGGGA
RNAcentral lists this ribosomal RNA (228 nucleotides) under uncultured bacterium. RNAcentral's name for it is "partial 16S ribosomal RNA". It matches the Rfam family "Bacterial small subunit ribosomal RNA", at positions 118 to 346 of the family's 1533-position model. The record is from RNAcentral.